GCCCCCGUGGCUCAGUUGGAUAGAGCGUCUGGUUGCGGACCAGAAGGUCGCAGGUUCGAGUCCUGCCGGGGGUACCA
Molecule: transfer RNA, 77 nt
Filed under: Chloroflexota bacterium
Lineage: Bacteria; Bacillati; Chloroflexota
Description: Chloroflexi bacterium (hydrothermal vent metagenome) tRNA-Arg
Rfam family: tRNA
About the family: Transfer RNA (tRNA) molecules are approximately 80 nucleotides in length.
Source: RNAcentral